This 666-nucleotide long non-coding RNA is filed under the name Coturnix japonica (Japanese quail). Its description in RNAcentral is "lncRNA (ENSCJPG00005019582.1)". The record is from RNAcentral. Lineage: Eukaryota; Metazoa; Chordata; Aves; Galliformes; Phasianidae.
GCUUGUUCUACUCCUACAGACCCAGUCCUAUUUAGGAGGGAUUUCAUGCGCGCUUUGGCUCUGAUCAGACUACUGCGUGCCUUCUGUUAGGAAGGUUUCAGGGCACCAGAAAAGCAGCCAAGUCCUCCUUCACACAAUGUCCUGACAGUGGUUGGAAAAAGCAUUUUUCCUCAAGGGACUAAAAGGGUGGAUUGCAUUCCUAAGCCCCUGGAAGGGAGAGGCUUUAUGUAAUUCUCAAAAGCCCUAAUGUGGAUGUUGUGCUCUGAGGGACAUGGGAGCUGCGAAGAACCUGAAUCCUUCCAACUAAGUGGUGACAGCACUCAGAUAGUGAGCAAGAAGAAAUCUUAGACCCUACUAGGAGGCUGGAAAGCCUUUUGCUUCUGUUGCUGUCACAUUCAAGUCUUAUCCAAGCAGAGCAAGAAGAAACAUGCAGAAUUGGGUAUGUUAGACCCACACUUUUCAACUACAUCCAAAUGCCUCUCUUUGUAGUUUUAGUUAGAAGUAGAACUUAUGUUCUUUGUGUAAAGACUGGGCAUUUGCUCUGAGCUGGUCUCCCAGCCUUCCCCCAAUCAACAGAAAGCACCCGCAGAAGCAUCUACUAGAAUAGUAGAUGUUGAAUCAGGGAGAAAUGUCAAAGGAAAAAUCAAUUGAAUGUCUAAAAGCAGC